CACUUAAAAAAAACUUUGGGCCUUGUGCUCUUUUACAAAUCACAACCGUUAAUCAAUAAAAGCUAAUUUCUUUAGAAAUGAUACUCCUUCCCAAAAUAAAUGGAACUCCCUACUAAAACCUAACUCCUCCAAACGUUUGACAGCCGCUAUCAACUCCUCACCAUUAAACUAUCAACUUCCUUUCAUUUCACAAACCCACAAAAUUCAAGAGGUGUUUUAAAAUGGGUGGUCUAACAUUCGCUCUUCUAAUAUUUUUACCCUUGACUUUAUAUCUUUUUGUUCCUGAUUUUCUUUGACGAAGAUUGCCAUGAUAUUUUGAAGUCUGGAGUUCAUAAGCGACAAGUAUUUGAAGCGGCCGGAAGGAGUAACGAAGAUUUAUUUUCUUGUAUCAUCUUGAAUUAUUUGUAAAAUUGAAGUUAUGAAUAAAAAUCUUGAGUAUACAAUUUUUGUAAA
This is a long non-coding RNA of Chenopodium quinoa (quinoa), 453 nucleotides long. RefSeq lists it as uncharacterized. The transcript is spliced from 2 exons. NCBI's taxonomy places the organism in Eukaryota, Viridiplantae, Streptophyta, Magnoliopsida, Caryophyllales, Amaranthaceae. The record is from RefSeq and is a predicted model, not a curated record.